Oryctolagus cuniculus (rabbit) is the source of this 1458-nucleotide long non-coding RNA. NCBI's taxonomy places the organism in Eukaryota, Metazoa, Chordata, Mammalia, Lagomorpha, Leporidae. The record is from Ensembl.
GGCAGCCAUUUAUGCCACUCUUUCGUGAUAACUGCCAUUCUAUCAAAUCAAAGAUCUCCAGAAUUGGAAAAAAAUUCUUCUGGGAGGUCUAAUCCAGCCUUUUUCUUAUCUAGUGAAAACAUUCAAGCCUGGAGAGGCAGAGACCACCCAAUCACAUCACUGUUGGCAAAGCCAGGAGUUAAAUCGGCUACUGACUCCCAGGAAUGCUCUCUUCCAUCAGAUUACCAGACUUCCUUGGACAUAUUCUCUGUUCUUCCACUUCCUUGUUCUUUAACAGAUCUCAGUCUUCAUUCAGGUAUUGCCUCAAGAAAUAAUUGCGUGAAUCUCCUCAUCCAAAUGCCUUUGAAGCAUAGUGUGAAAGCACCUGCAAGAUACCAUCCUAAAAAUAAAAUGAAUCUCAAAUAUUGCAUAUUGCAUUUAUUUGCCUAUUUACGUAAAAUUUUCCAUGUGAGUAGACUUUUAUCAUAUUAGCCUAUGUACCCCACUUCAUCAUCAAGACAAUGUGGGAUUUACAAUUCACAAUGUACAAUGGUGUUCGUUGAAAAAGAAUGUCUCAAGGCUGCUGUUUGGCCUGGCAGGUUAGCCACCAUUUAGGAUGCCACAUCUAAGUACCUGGGUUUCAUUCCUGGCUCCUGACUUACACUUGGCUUCUGAUUCCAUGUUCCCGGAAACACUGACUUGGACUUUAGGUGGCAACAAAGAUGGCUCAAAUAAUUGGAUUUCUGCUACUCUUGCGGGAGACCUGGAUUGAGUUCCUGGAUCUUGGAAUUGGCCCAGCCCAGUUCCAGAUGCUGAGGGCAUUUGGAAAGUGAAACAGCAGAUGGGAGCUCUCUCUAUCUCUCAGUAAAUAAGUAAAAGAUAAAAACAAAGAAAAAUAUUGUGUUUUUAACUUUGUGUCAAUUUUAUUAUAGUGGGGAUUUUUAUACAGUAUUUGCAUAUACUUAAAGUCUCUUAUAUUUUAUAUGUUAUUUUGUUUCUUUUUACAUCACUGAUGUAUUUUUCUAUAGAAAUUUUCAUUGAUCUAUAACUGCUCAUUAUAGAUUAAGAAUUAAUCUGUUUCCUAUCUAAUGUUCCAAUAUCUUUCUUUAGCAUGUCAUUUAUUUUUAAUUUGGGUAGUAUUUUUCUGACAAAAACUUAAAAAUUGUGUAGUGUAAUUUAUCUAAAUGUUAUGACAAUAAUUUUGCAUUAUAUUUAGAAAAGGCAUUUUUACUAUACUAGUAUGAAAUGGAAUAUGAUUAUAAUAUUUUAUGAUUUAAUUUUUCCUGUUUAAUUUUUUUUCAUCUUGAGUUUGUCCUGUUUAAACAGUGGUAAAGGAUUUUAAGAUUGCUCCUAUAGUUUUGCCUCGCAUAAAUGUAGCAAAUUUUUCAACUCUACUUAAAAAGAAUUUCUUUAGGUAUUAGAAUGUCACCUUUUAAAAAUAUAAAUAAAUUUCUACUGGACAUCUAUUCCUAGAUUCUU